Non-coding RNA from Brachypodium distachyon (stiff brome), 159 nucleotides. RefSeq annotates it as microRNA MIR167c. The record is from RefSeq and is marked provisional. The transcript has a single exon. Lineage: Eukaryota; Viridiplantae; Streptophyta; Magnoliopsida; Poales; Poaceae.
UUCACUUGCUGUGGUGCAUCUUCUAGGAGCUGAAGCUGCCAGCAUGAUCUGACGAGAGUUCCUCGUCUGAUAGCAAUGUUUAAUUCUCUUGUCAUGACUAAUGAUCAGAUCAUGCUGUGCAGUUUCAUCUGCUUGUGGAUGCACAAGAUACUGUUCAUA